CCCAGCCCGGGCGCUACCAUGCUCUGUGCGAAAGGGGGAGAGGGGAUGAUCCCUCCCCCCCCGCCCCCGCUCUCGCUUUUGUAUGCGCGGCGUCCCCGCUGCAGCUAUGGCGACGGCAGAGCCGAGGCAGGAGAGUGAACCAUCAGUGUAAACCAUCAGUGCAAAACAAAGAAUGAAUUCUUCAAUGUAUGUUUCAGUUUCUUCUCCACACACUUACAACAUGAGUAAAAACCACGUUCCUCAAAACAUACUUGUGCAACCCAAUUUCCACCCUGCAAGCUGGAAAAGGACAUCUGUAAGCAAAAAGUUCUUUGCUUCAAGCCUGCAUGACUCCCAAGGGUCUGGCUCUGAAAGCUGUGUUCAGGAGAUACAGGAUCAGUCAGAAUCCCAGCUACAAAUUAAUGAAAAUGAAGAGCUGGUAGGACUGGAUUCUGAUGAGUUGGAGAACGAUAGCUUAGAAGAAGAUAGCUUGGAGGACAUGACUUUAAAAGAACAAGAAGGUGAUGAGUAUGAUGCAAAUCAGCAUACAUGCAGAAUACAAAGAAAUGAUGGUGAUGGAAGGAAACAACAAUCUGUGGACAAAUAUUUUAGCCUAAGAUACAAUCCUAACUGGAAGAACACAAGAGAGGCAGCAGAAUUUUCUGAGGCAGAAAAAGCACAUCAGGUUGCUCUAGGAAGCAGUGUGGAGUUUUCACAAGAUUCAUUUUACCUCCAUUCCAGUGGAUCCCCAGAAGAAAAGAGUCAACCAGAGGCAAAGUCACAACAUUCAUUCUCAAAGUUUGGUACAGAAUUACAGAGCUUUUGUGAACCAAAUGCCGUGGUCAGCAAUGAUCCUUCGAGGCUGCCUGCUGAAGGGAAGGGACCUGCAGACAACUGUCAUCUCAAAGACAGCUCCAGUACACACAGCAGUGCUUUGUCUCUUCAGAUUCAAGGUGGUCAACCACAAAGAUCAAAAACAGACUUUGUGAAAAAAAAUAAACAGACUUUAGGAUUACGUUCAGAGAUAAAUUCCUACUGUCAAUUAUACAGUAAAAAGCAAGAAGUUGCUCUUCAAGAGCAGGAUUACCAAAAUAAUUCAUCCCAGAGAAAUACAAUCAAAUCCAACCAGAGUCUCAAAGGGAGAACUGUCCCAAGGAAUGAUAGCCAGCGGCUGCCAGGAGGACCAGCAGAACCAAAGUCUUGCCACUGCAAGCACUGCCAAAUACCAGAAUUUAAGACUGCUCCCAUGCAGGCAGUGGAGCACAACAAUAACAUCACACAGCAGAAAUGGCUGCAUUCGAGUCCUUGUGUUGGCCCUGACACCAAUAGAGCAGCAAAUACAGAUACUUGCUUAAAUAAUUUCCCAAAUUCAAGACUUUUCUUUAAUCAGGAUUUUACAUCUAUCUGUCCUUUUCAUCCAACAUUACAUAAAUUUAACCCAGUGGAGGAUGUAUCUCCAGCACAUACCAGCAAGGAAAACAUGAAAUGUCAGCACGAUCCUCCAAAUGGACUUGCACAGGACCAGCAACAUUUAUACAACCAUGCCACUUUGCAGCUUUCUGCGGGAGAUGAGAGCACCAAAGGUCAAACACAUCCAAAUCAGAGGAAUACUUCAUCUACUUUUAAUGCCAGUUUUCAAGAAUUGGUGAAGAAUCAAGUAUCACGUCAGGACUGCAAAGGACACAUUUGUGUUGAUAAAAGGCCUUCUCAAUCUUCUGCUCAUAGUUCACCAACAGCCCCUCCCUGCACAACCUCCCAGAUUAUACAAAUGAUGGAGCAACACUAUGAAGAAUUCAUCUCUUUGGCAGAAGGUGACCUGGCUGACAGGAACCUGUUCAGCCUGCUUCCACCUAUAACCCCACAAGUAGCAAGUGGUUUGGAGGUAGAUCUGGGGAGCGGUGAAGGAAAACCAGUGAAAAUAAGCCGAAGGAACUCAGAAGGAUAUCCCAUGCAAACGGAAGAGCCCAAAGUCAGCAAGAAGCCAUGUAGCUCAAAAGCCUACAUGAAUCUGAAUGUGAAGCUUGGAGGCCUUGGACCUGACUAUGAAGCGAUCAAAGAGAAAAAAGAGAAGUUAAAGCAGCAAAAGGAAUAUGCAAAGCAAAUUAAGGAACACAAUAUGAAAAACAUUGCUUCAGUUCAGAGGGUACCUACAAAACUCCGGGUCACAUAUUCAGUGUCAAGACAGAAGGCACUGGAGUACGCUAAGAAGAUUCCCAGACCAAAGACUUUCGCAACAAGACAAUCAGAUGAAGAGGUGAAAGAGAAAAGAAUUCCACCAUGGACUUUAAAUGGAGACAGUUUACCUCAAAUUACAUCGUUGGAAACUUUGCAAAAUAGACACGAGAAGGAGAAGCAAAUUGUAGCUGCUUUCAGAACCCUUCAUAUCUUAUAACUAUUUAGAAAUUAUUAGGGAUAUCUUCAAGGCAAAAAUAUCUGACCUGUUUAGUUACAAGAGUCCUGGAUGAGUUUGGUCUGGAUCUCACAGUCCUCAGGGUGCCUCAGUCCUCUCCAAAGUGGAUUGACUGCUGAAACACAGCCUGCAGGAUCUCCAAUCCAUCUCCUGACCUAAUACAGGAAAAACUGACCACCAUACUGCAUCCCUCCAUCAAGGAAAAGGGACAUGGUCCUUUCUUUAAAGCCCUGCUGACCUACCUGAGAGAUAGGAAGUUCUCUACCCUGUUGGUUGCCUCCCACCACAUGCACCGAAUUGGACUGGUAGCCUUCACAGGCAAAAGUUUGUACGCACAUAAUCUUUGGGGGAAAUGUGGUGAAGAAGGGUCUUCCAGCAUGGAGAAUGUGACUCAGGUUGCAGGGGAAGUGUUUUGUGUAUCGGAGCACAGCAGUGGACAUCUUCGAACGACCACUGCAGCUUCUGGAACAGGGCCAUCCUCAACCCAAGGUUCCUUUAGGAGCUGCUUUUAGCCACUGUUUAUAGACUAUGCAUGCCCCUGGCGUGAUCCAUCAAGCUAGGUUGGGUAAAUGUUUCCAUGCUCUGCUAGUUGCUGCUUUUCUACUUUUAUUUUUAGACCAAAUGGGAACACUUUGAAGCAUUUCUGAUUAGGGAACUUCAACUUGUUGUUUCUGCUAAAAAGUGAUAAUCCCCCCUUAAUACAAACCUCAAGUACCUAUUUUAAUGAAACCUUCAGAUGAAUAUCAAAGAGCUAUUUACUCAUAUCUAAUAUUUUAAUUAGAUUAUAUUCUCAAUUUAACCCAUUAAACCCCCUUUGAUGAUCUCCAUGUUUAGUGUUUAGCCCCAGAUGCUGAAGGUAAUGAAUAUUGGACCUUUGAUUUAAUGAGAACUUCUGCCUUUCCAGCCUGAUUCCCUUUGUAUCCCCCUUUUUUUAUUUUCUGAGCUAUAGAAUUCAGUUAAUUGAAGAAGUCUCUUACCACCACACAUUAAGGAACCUAAAUUAGCAUCCCUUUUCUGAUUAGAAAAUGCAAGCAGACAUUUUCUCUUUGAUCUGAGGAUUGAGUUGAAGUAGGCAACAGCCCCCUGAAAAUGAGCUGAUGGCCUUAUUAUUUGCCUGACAUGCAGAUGCGUCCAUGUGGUGCAAAAUGCUUAAUGUCUUAAUUGAUCACCUUCCUCCCUAUCUGUCAUCCUACCUUUUAGAUCUCUCAUAAAUUAGGGUGAUCUUUCUGGGUGGGUGGUAUGUCUGGGGUGUGGGUUUUUUUAACUAAAAUAGUGAUCUUUUAGGGCACAUUUAAAUACUAAACCCCUGCUAAACUACAAGCCAUGCAUACUUAUAUGAUGCUGCAUCGGGGAGGGGAUAUAAGAACACAGAUCCUGAUCAUCUCACAAUCCAUUCGGAAAGGACUGUUGUUUUUUCUUCUCUCCCAGAAAAAGACAUUAUUUGCAGCAUAUGUGGAAAGAAAAUCUUUUGAUCUGCCUCAAUACUAAUGCAAAUUUUUCCUGUGUGUAACAGAUACAGUGGGACAAAAAGAGGCCAUACAAGUAAAUGAUGAACAUCCGUCUGCUUAAAAGCAAAGGCCACAACUUGAUGUCUUUCAAAUUAGGAAGGCAAGGAAUUUAAAUAAGAAAAAGGCCGUAAAUUUUCCAUUAAGUAUUCAGGGAGAGAUUGAGAUGGAGUAGAACCUGCCUGCUGUAGUCCUGUGGCUCCAACAGAGCUAUCACAGAACAUGGUGUCACUCACCGGGAGCACAGCUGGCUCACGGGCGCAGGAACGCAUUUGUGUGCAUCACCCAGCAGGACUUCUCAACGUCUUGGCAGGCCCGUUCUAUUGCUACUGUUUCUCGACAUUUUAGAUUCAGGAAGCCUAAAAGCUGAGGCUGCCUUCAGUAGUCAAAGAAGCAGCAUCAGCUCUACUUAGGAGCAACGCUGCUGCAGUAGCAUCACCAUCAUGUUUCUUUUGACGGUAGAUAGUCAGCUUCUCACCACUACCUCACAAAAGGUACAAACAGUUGGCUUGAAGGCUGCUUACUCCAACAAAACAUACUGGUUUAUCGGUUAAAAACAUUAAAUAAGGCAGUGCCUAAAAGCCGUGUUCUGUUAUUACAUCUCUGAAGACAAAGUGUCAAAGGUGAGGACUGCAAACAAGAUGAGAUUAGGUCUAACUCCUGCAGUGACUGAAUGCUCCAAAUAGGCUUGAGCAACCUAUAGUGUCUGAACAGCCCACAAGCUAAGCAUGUGAUCAUUAUCAUCUCCCAUUAGGGAUCAAUUCUACAGUAAAUUAUAAUCGCACAAUUGGAGGUGUCCAAUGCCAGGAUGGAUGGGGCUUGGGCAGCCUGAUCUAGUGGGACGGGUCCCUUCCCAUUGUUUGGAACUAGUGUUGUGCUGAACAACCCCAACUCCCUCAGCCUGUCCCCAUACAGGAGGUGCUCCAGC
Cuculus canorus (common cuckoo) is the source of this 4822-nucleotide RNA transcript. It is a transcript of the gene named junctional cadherin complex regulator, with no coding region annotated. The record is from RefSeq and is a predicted model, not a curated record. The transcript has 9 exons. NCBI's taxonomy places the organism in Eukaryota, Metazoa, Chordata, Aves, Cuculiformes, Cuculidae.